Molecule: unclassified non-coding RNA, 308 nt
Organism: Castor canadensis (American beaver)
Lineage: Eukaryota; Metazoa; Chordata; Mammalia; Rodentia; Castoridae
Gene: 7SK
Rfam family: 7SK RNA
About the family: 7SK was discovered as an abundant small nuclear RNA in the mid-70s but a possible function has only recently been suggested. Two independent studies have found that 7SK RNA binds the CDK9/cyclin T complex (known as elongation factor P-TEFb).
Source: Ensembl
GGAUGUGAGGGCGAUCUGGCUAUGACAUCUGUCACCCCAUCGAUUGCCAGGGUUGAUUCGGCUGAUCUGGCUGGCUAGGCGGGUGUCCCCUUCCUCCCUCACAACUCUAUGUGUGUCCCUCCCAAAGCUGUGCACUCUCGGUCGAAGAGGGCGACCAUCCCUGAUAGAGGAGGACCGUUCUUUGGUCAAGGGUACAUGAGUAGCUGUGCUCCCCUGCUAGAACCUCUAAACGAGCUCUCAAGAAACAACAUAAACAAUGGAUGGGAAAAAAUGAUGAAGACAGUGUUCAAAUGGAAAUGUCCCUCUGU